RNAcentral lists this ribosomal RNA (255 nucleotides) under uncultured bacterium. RNAcentral describes it as "partial 16S ribosomal RNA". It matches the Rfam family "Bacterial small subunit ribosomal RNA", at positions 524 to 779 of the family's 1533-position model. The record is from RNAcentral.
UACGGAGGGAGCUAGCGUUAUUCGGAAUUACUGGGCGUAAAGCGCACGUAGGCGGCUUUGUAAGUAAGAGGUGAAAGCCCAGAGCUCAACUCUGGAAUUGCCUUUAGACUGCAUCGCUUGAAUCAUGGAGAGGUCAGUGGAAUUCCGAGUGUAGAGGUGAAAUUCGUAGAUAUUCGGAAGAACACCAGUGGCGAAGGCGGCUGACUGGACAUGUAUUGACGCUGAGGUGCGAAAGCGUGGGAGCAACAGAUGAUG